Molecule: non-coding RNA, 1738 nt
Organism: Ictidomys tridecemlineatus (thirteen-lined ground squirrel)
Lineage: Eukaryota; Metazoa; Chordata; Mammalia; Rodentia; Sciuridae
Source: RefSeq, a predicted model, not a curated record
UGUUUCUGAGGCUGGCUUUGAACUCACGAUCCUCCUGCCUCAGCCUCCCAAGCUGCUGGGAUUAUAGAGUAUAAAAUGGAAAGAAGCAUUUCGGGCAGAUGCUCAGAGAGUCCCAGAUCAGCACCAUGCACACUACAGAAGACAUCCUUAUCCCUAUAAAAAGGAGCAAGUAGAUCCAGCAGAGAUGGUGGUAAAGAGUUGGUGGCCCGGAGGGGACAUUAGGGAGAAGAAUUUGUUUCCAGUUUCUUAUGGAAUGGGGAUAAACGAGAAGGGAAAAAUGAAAGGUGUGACUUUGAUUUACUUCCUCUCCUACAUAAUUCCAUUACUCCUCACAUAAAAGGAGACAGUGUAAUUCAGAGGAGGGCAAUGUAUGGGUUAUUCUAGAACACAGAGACAGUGCACUUAAAAUACUGGCGACGUAGAAAAACUUGGAGAACACAUGAGAAGACGGAAACAUCAGCACUUGCCAAUGGAAGAAAACAGGUAAGCGAAGCCAGAAAACAACCAAGCACACAAAAAGUAAGGACAGAUGGUUGAAAACCCACUGUGCCCUACCGAAGAGUUGCUGGCUGGUCACUCUGACUCAGCCGAUUCCACAGCAGCCUUCACCUCCUGUCCCUGGUGUGUACCUGCCUGAGACUUAAAUUCAGUCACUAAACGCCUCAAAGUUCUGCAGUUUGGAUUCUGGAGUCUGUUUUGGGUUUUCAUCCCAGCUCUGCAACUUUGCUUCCUGUGUCAUGUUGGAUGAUUUAUUUAACCUUUCUGUGCUUCUGCUUUGGUUUCCUGAAGUAUAAAUGGGGCAAUUAAAGCACUUAGCACCUAGGGACUGUUGUGAGGAUUAAAAUGAGAUAAUGUGUUAAGAGGGCUUAGCACAGUUUCCGGCUUAUAAUAAAUGUUCAAUGAAUGCCAGCUAGUAUUAUUAUGUUCUUCAUUUAAUAGAAACACUUUAGAAAGAGUUACCCUUCUUGAAAUAUCAGUGGCAUAGGCACUUGGUCAGAAAAUCAAGCUGUUAAUGCUGCCCCCCCCCGCCCAUCUUAACUCCUCUGAAAGAUGUGGUUUCUUUUCCAGAAGGCCACAGGAAUUUCAGCUGUGCUUGCCUCUCACCAGUGGACAGUUCUCUGCCAGUUUACCCAAGACUUCCUUUUAAUCACCUCCAGCUGAGCCUACCCUAGUACAUUCUGUGCUACUUUUAAAACUUUAUAAGCCAAGAAAACAAAGUAUAGGCACAAGUGGGUUCACAAGCUUCGAACCACAGGCAGAAGCCACUGGAACCCACAUGUCCUCAGGCACUAACACAGCAACCAUUACCCUGCUUGGAAAAUGUGCCUGAGGUCACAGAGAACCCCAAGAAUUGUUUCUGUUUCAUCCAUAAGUCACCCAGCACUUAUAUCCAUUGUCAGAUGUAUUAGAUGCAUUUGUCUCAAUCAGCAGAUUAAAAAUCUGGAACCCAGAAAGCAAACAGCUCCUUGCUAAAGGCAAAUAAACAGAUUUCUGUUGCAAAGGAAACUUUUUCCUGAGACUCAUUGCUAUUAAGAUAGCACUUGCUUCUGCCUGGCCACAAAUACAUCCAAAGUUAGUAAAUCCUAUGGAGAGACAUAAACAUACUUUCCCCCAAGGGUUCACACAUUCUCAAAGAAGAGGACAAGUUGAAAUGGGAAGCAGGGAAAUGCCAUUUUGAACAAGGUCCUUCACAUAAGUAGGUCUCUGGAGGUUUUUCAGGAAAAGAUCUUGCAGUGAA